CAGCAGCCACGGGAACACGUAGGGUGCAAGCGUUAAUCGGAAUUACUGGGCGUAAAGCGUGCGCAGGCGGUUUUGUAAGACAGAGGUGAAAUCCCCGGGCUCAACCUGGGAACUGCCUUUGUGACUGCAAGGCUGGAGUGCGGCAGAGGGGGAUGGAAUUCCGCGUGUAGCAGUGAAAUGCGUAGAUAUGCGGAGGAACACCGAUGGCGAAGGCAAUCCCCUGGGCCUGCGCUGACGCUCAUGCACGAAAGCGUGGGGAGCAAACAGGAUUAGAUACCCGGGUAGUCCCUGUCUCUUAUAC
This 301-nucleotide ribosomal RNA is filed under the name uncultured bacterium. Its description in RNAcentral is "partial 16S ribosomal RNA". It matches the Rfam family "Bacterial small subunit ribosomal RNA", at positions 509 to 807 of the family's 1533-position model. The record is from RNAcentral.